GGGGACGUUCCGGAUUCGACAGGGAUAGGUCGAGCUUAAGUAGCGAGCCGAGGUGACGACUCGUUAAACGUCAUUCAGUUUAUAAUAACUGGCAAACAAAACGAUUUCGCUGUAGCUGCGUAAGCAGAUACUACAGGAUCCUUCCUGCCAUCGCCCGUGUGGCAGAUAGAAGGGUCUCAAACUAAGCGGGCUACGCUGAAGGCCACCGUCUGAGGUCUUCAGAAGAGACUAAUCAGACUAGCCACUCGGAAGCCUGUCGGUAGGCUGAAGAGUCGGUGAAUGAUAAUAUACCGAAUACGCUCGUAGAAGCUUGAGUGCCGAUAUCCUUGGACGCGGGUUCGACUCCCGCCGUCUCCAUUU
Molecule: transfer-messenger RNA, 360 nt
Filed under: Filobacillus milosensis
Lineage: Bacteria; Bacillati; Bacillota; Bacilli; Caryophanales; Bacillaceae
Description: Standard tmRNA
Rfam family: transfer-messenger RNA
About the family: Bacterial tmRNA, also known as 10Sa RNA or SsrA, is named for its dual tRNA and mRNA-like properties. Its role is to liberate the mRNA from a stalled ribosome.
Source: Rfam by way of RNAcentral